CCUACGGGAGGCAGCAGUGGGGAAUCUUGCGCAAUGGGCGAAAGCCUGACGCAGCAACGCCGCGUGCGGGAAGAAGGCUUUCGGGCUGUAAACCGCUUUCAGCAGGAACGAAAAUGACGGUACCUGCAGAAGAAGGAGCGGCCAACUAUGUGCCAGCAGCCGCGGUGAUACAUAGGCUUCAAGCGUUGUCCGGAUUUAUUGGGCGUAAAGAGUUCGUAGGCGGUCGAGUAAGUCGGGUGUGAAAAUUCUGGGCUCAACCCAGAGACGCCACCCCGAUACUGCUUGACUUGAGUUCGAUAGGGGAGUGGGGAAUUCCUAGUGUAGCGGUGAAAUGCGCAGAUAUUAGGAGGAACACCGGUGGCGAAGGCGCCACUCUGGAUCGAUACUGACGCUGAGGAACGAAAGCAUGGGUAGCAAACAGGAUUAGAUACCCUGGUAGUCCAUGCCGUAAACGGUGGGCACUAGGUGUGGGUUUCUAUUAACGAAAUCCGCGCCGUCGCUAACGCAUUAAGUGCCCCGCCUGGGGAGUACGGUCGCAAGACUAAAACUCAAAUGAAUUGACGG
This 564-nucleotide ribosomal RNA is filed under the name uncultured bacterium. RNAcentral describes it as "bacterial SSU rRNA". It matches the Rfam family "Bacterial small subunit ribosomal RNA", at positions 338 to 916 of the family's 1533-position model. The record is from RNAcentral.